This is a long non-coding RNA of Ornithorhynchus anatinus (platypus), 376 nucleotides long. RefSeq lists it as uncharacterized. NCBI's taxonomy places the organism in Eukaryota, Metazoa, Chordata, Mammalia, Monotremata, Ornithorhynchidae. The transcript is spliced from 3 exons. The record is from RefSeq and is a predicted model, not a curated record.
CCAUCGUUUUCAAGUAGAGGAGGUCGAGAGGGCAUUAGCCUUAUACUUGAGAGUUAAGAUACAGCCAUAAAAUUGAGUGGCAUGUUUACUGCUAGAGGUCUUGGGAGAAUUAGGCCACAGCGCAAGAGAAGUUCAAUAUACUGCACAAACAAGUUUGCUAGAGGGCUGCAGUCUUUCAAAUUUGGAACAUAUCGACUUAGGAAAGUGAUCGAUUUGAUUUACAUCGGGACAACAACACAUUCUGCAGCUGCGAUUCUUGGCUUUUCAGGUCUCUGACAAGACCCAAAAGCUUCCAAGUUGCUCUAGAAGAGAAGCAGAGUGUCCUAGUAGAAGGAGCAUGGACUGGGGAGUCAGAGGACCUGAGUUUAAUCCUGGC